GGAUGAUCAGCCACACUGGAACUGACACACGGUCCAGACUCCUACGGGAGGCAGCAGUGAGGAAUUUUGCGCAAUGGGGGAAACCCUGACGCAGCAACGCUACGUGAGUGAAGAAGGCCUUCGGGUCGUAAAGCUCUGUCAAGGGGGAAAAACCCCUCUCGAUGAAUAGUCGAAAGGGCUGAUGGUACCCCUAGAGGAAGCACCGGCUAACUCCGUGCCAGCAGCCGCGGUAAUACGGAGGGUGCGAGCGUUGUUCGGAAUUACUGGGCGUAAAGAGCGUGUAGGCGGUUUGGCAAGUCAGAUGUGAAAGCCCUGGGCUCAACCCAGGAAGUGCAUUUGAAACUGUCAUACUAGAGUAUGGGAGAGGAGAGUGGAAUUCCCAGUGUAGAGGUGAAAUUCGUAGAUAUUGGGAGGAACACCCGUGGCGAAGGCGACUCUCUGGACCAAUACUGACGCUGAGACGCGAAAGCGUGGGGAGCAAACAGGAUUAGAUACCCUGGUAGUCCACGCCGUAAACGAUGAGAACUAGGUGUAGCGGGUAUUGACCCCUGCUGUGCCGGAGCUAACGCAUUAAGUUCUCCGCCUGGGGAGUACGGUCGCAAGGCUAAAACUCAAAGGAAUUGACGGGGGCCCGCACAAGCGGUGGAGCAUGUGGUUUAAUUCGACGCAACGCGAAGAACCUUACCUGGGUUUGACAUCCCCUGACAGUCCCGGAAACGGGAUCUUUUCGACUUGUCGAAACAGGGUGACAGGUGCUGCAUGGCUGUCGUCAGCUCGUGUCGUGAGAUGUUGGGUUAAGUCCCGCAACGAGCGCAACCCUUGUCUUUAGUUGCCAGUAUUAAGUUACGCACUCUAGAGAUACUGCCUCGGUUAACGAGGAGGAAGGUGGGGAUGACGUCAAGUCCUCAUGGCCUUUAUAUCCAGGGCUACACACGUGCUACAAUGGGCUGUACAAAGGGUUGCUAUCCCGCGAGGAGGCGCUAAUCCCAAAAAGCAGCUCUCAGUUCGGAUUGGAGUCUGCAACUCGACUCCAUGAAGGUGGAAUCGCUAGUAAUCGUGGAUCAGCAUGCCACGGUGAAUACGUUCCCGGGCCUUGUACACACCGCCCGUCGCACCACGAAAGUUGGCUGUACCAGAAGUUGCUGGGCUAACCCCUGAGCUUGUCGAAGGGGAGGCAGGUACCUAAGGUACGGUUGAUAAUUGGGGCGAAGUCGUAACAAGGU
RNAcentral lists this ribosomal RNA (1223 nucleotides) under metagenome. RNAcentral describes it as "bacterial SSU rRNA". It matches the Rfam family "Bacterial small subunit ribosomal RNA", at positions 298 to 1497 of the family's 1533-position model. The record is from RNAcentral.